Long non-coding RNA from Cyprinus carpio carpio, 685 nucleotides. NCBI's taxonomy places the organism in Eukaryota, Metazoa, Chordata, Actinopteri, Cypriniformes, Cyprinidae. The record is from Ensembl.
CAACACCAUGGAAACUAGUCCAUGAGGUCACGAAACGGAGGCAGCGAGAGAGAGAAACCCCUGCAAAUCUGGGCUUUUUUUUCUAUGAAGCCGGAGAGUUUUCCAGCGUCCUGACAGUGCUUACGGACCAACAGGACUCAUCAUGUUUGUGUGUGUGUGUGAGUGUGUGUGUGCUGUUUCGGGCAGACGCCUCAGAUCAGCAGGCUGGCCUUACUGCAUGUGUGACAGGAGAGCCGUCCUGAUCAAAACACACCCCUGGCACCUGACCCCCCUCACCCGGAGCCCCCCUCAGCCCAGCCUGCCCUGGUCUUAAUGAUACGUGGCCUCCUCAUGCCCCGCGGCCAGAGACCCCGGAUCACCCCCACCAUACACACACACACAUACACAAAACAAACACACAUAAGAAGAUUGCCGGGACUUGUGUCCCUGCAGCUGGAUUUGGCUUACAGAAUGGAGAAAAGUUUGGAUGAUAAGAUGGCAAGACAGCAGACUGUUGGACAGGUGCACAGGUAUGACAGAGUGAGACGUCUCGUGACGCGCACGUGGCCGCUGUUUGUAAACACACUUGUGCACAAAAUAAAAAUCAUUACAACUUUUUCAGGAACAAUUAACACGACAAACAACGUUGUGUCUUUAUGUGAAAACAGGCAUUAAACAGUGACUUACACCAUCCACAAAGGUCUAC